GUCUCUUAAUUUCUUUUCACCAUCCUCUUACCCUCACGUUCCUGGUCGAUUUGUCAUGCCGGCCACGACAGAGGCCAUCUUAGUUUUCUUGAAGAGGCUUGAUUUAGAUGACUGCUUCUGGAAAAACUCUGAACUUCCCUGCAGGACAAACUGAUGGAAUGCAAGCUCCUGAGGAGGGAAAGAUGUCUGUGAAAAGUCAAGUCAGGCUGAAUCCCCUUCUGUUCUUCAGGAGUUCUCUUCAAAGUAUUUUAUUCUUUUUCUCAGGUCAGGUCUGAAGACGGGACACUGUACAUAAUUGUUAUCAUAUCCCGGAGCUGACAUAGACUCCUGAACUGGUUGUGGCAUAGUAUUAUUGUUCUAAUUAGUCCUAGAAACUCAGAGUUAAAGGCUCACACUGCAUGUUCUUUGGCAUGACAUCAGUCCACCAUUGACUCUGACUGUCAGCAGGAGUUUAAAUAUUUGAGCCAAAGCAUUUCGCCUACAGUUAAUAUUUGUGUUCAAAGACAACUUCCGUGGAAGGGAAAGAAAACCUUUUUGUUAUCAUUGUGCCCUCUUGGGAAUCAGCACUAUCCAAAUUAACCCUAACUUCUCACACUUCCCAAUAAAUUCACCUCUUAAAUUUUUUAAUUACCAACAAAAAUGGGAACGAUAGUCUUCAUAAUUAGCUUUUGAGAGAUAGAUCAGUCACACCUUUUAAACCCAAACUAUGUCUAAUGUGGAUUUCAGCCUAAUGAAUGAGCUGUAAAUACACUGCCUUUCUACGCAGUGAGACUUGAUGGAAACCCUCGUUUUACAAGGGCUGGUUAUUGAUUAAAUGACUAGACUGUUUUUGGCACUGAUUAUUUCUAUUCCUGUACACUUCUCAUCACAGGCUCAGAAGAAUUGUUAAAGUAAUUAAAGAGUUAUUAAAGGUCACUGUCCCCUUACCCACUCAGUGCUAGUACCAUCUUUACAACAUCCCCCCCAAGUGGUUGUCUUGACCACAGUAGAACAUAUCUAAUGCUAGAUAAAAACAGACGCCAGCAAUCAGGAGACAGUUCUAAUUUGGAGUCAUCCCUCGAUGCAUUUUAUUUAAAAUUAUGGUAAGCUUCAUCUUAGGGGAGGACCUAAAUACAUAACUAGAUAAAGUGAUAGAAAAUGUGGUGAAUGUUUUGACAGAGGCACAAAUAAGUAGUUCAGAAAUACCUGACUGCAUGGGAGAGUCUGGGAAAGAUAUUCAGAGGGGACAUUUGAGUUUGUCCUAAAGGGUAAGUAGGGGUGUGUGUGUGUGUGUGUGUGUGUGUGUGUGUGUGUAGGGGAACAGUAUUUCCACAGAAAAGAUAACAGGUGCAAAGUUACGGAAUCUAGGAAGAGCCAUGGUAAGACUUGCUGACAAGUGCAGAAUGGCUGGGCGGGAGGGUUCCUGAAGUCGAAUGGUGAAAGAAAUGGCUUGCACCAGGCUAUUUGGAGCUUUGCUUGCUCGACCAACAAGUUUAGAUUUCAUCCUGCAGGGAAGGAGGAAGAUGUCAAAAGGUUUAGAGCAUGGGAGCGACCUGAUAAGAUUUCAGUUUUUGGAAGAUAAUCCCAGUGGCAGUUUUGAAGACUCAUCUGAUGGAAGAGAGCCUGAUUCAGGGGUACAGAUUGCAUGGAAAGCCAUCUGUUUUAUUGGCAUCCCACGUGUCCCAGUUUUGGUUCAGAAAGCAGAGUCUCUGUGUGUACAGCCAGUCUUAACUGGCUGUGGCAGAUUAUUGUAAAAUGUCAUGCCUAAUUUGUGUGAAUACCGGCAAAGUAAAAUGGGAAAUUGUGGCAAUUACUUGGAUUGCACAGGGAAACAAGAAUUGACCCAAAAUACCCAACGUAAAGAAUCGUAAGAUGGGAAAUCCUUAUGUCA
Molecule: long non-coding RNA, 1870 nt
Organism: Mustela erminea (ermine)
Lineage: Eukaryota; Metazoa; Chordata; Mammalia; Carnivora; Mustelidae
Exons: 3
Source: RefSeq, a predicted model, not a curated record